RNAcentral lists this non-coding RNA (30 nucleotides) under Actinoplanes sp. SE50/110. The record is from RNAcentral. Lineage: Bacteria; Bacillati; Actinomycetota; Actinomycetes; Micromonosporales; Micromonosporaceae.
GCAUUUGUCGUCGGCGGUUCCCGCGGCGUG